Molecule: ribosomal RNA, 78 nt
Filed under: Bacillus sp. 3255
Lineage: Bacteria; Bacillati; Bacillota; Bacilli; Caryophanales; Bacillaceae
Description: partial 16S ribosomal RNA
Rfam family: Bacterial small subunit ribosomal RNA
Source: RNAcentral
AUUAUGGAGAGUUUGAUCCUGGCUCAGGACGAACGCUGGCGGCGUGCCUAAUACAUGCAAGUCGAGCGGAGCACUUCG